GCAAUUAGGGGGAACGGCCACGUGCUAUGCACAUCCUUAUUGGAUGACUAUACGUCACACCGUUCUUUCGAGGGUGAACGGUGGCGGUCCCGCGGAGACCCUUGCACCGUUGUGUGCACAUAUUACGCCGCGCCGCGGCGAUUAGGGGGAACGGUCACGCGUUAUGCGCGUCAUUUUUAUUAUUGGACAUCUAUAAUACUCUUACCCUAUUACAAGUUAUCCUCAUAUUCUUCCCACUGAACUUCACCUUAAAAGGAGGCACAUCGAAGCUGCAAGAACCAAAUCCAUCAUCCAUGACGAAGCCUCUCCCCAUGGCCAUGGCCAACAUCUUCAUCUGUUUCCUUCUGCUAUCAUCCAUGAACGCUUCGCCUCUGGAGUCCGCAAGGAUCGUCCACGAGCACCGCGCCCACAUCGUUGCAGGUGAGGAAACGCCUGAUCGCCAUCUACCCGACGACCUUGGGGAAAUCAAGAGGGCGCAGCCCCGUCAAUUCGCGCCGCCGGCGCCACAAGCGAACGAGCAACGCUACCCCCCGAUCUGGCAUGGUGGAUCCCCAUCUGUCUAACUGUCUGCGCAAACCUGAUGCAAAAAUAAUAACAUGAGAAUUAUGUGCUUCA
Molecule: long non-coding RNA, 615 nt
Organism: Aegilops tauschii subsp. strangulata
Lineage: Eukaryota; Viridiplantae; Streptophyta; Magnoliopsida; Poales; Poaceae
Source: RefSeq, a predicted model, not a curated record